GUCUAAAUGAGCUGUCUAAAUGGCUUGUAUAUUUAAGCUCUGCUUUAAUGGUUUCGUGUUUGUUUUCACCCUCUAUUUCUCCUUGUUUUUAAGUUCAUUUAGCGGUCAUUUGUCAAGUCUCGUUUUCUGCUUUCAUUGUCUAAUUUUAUCAUAUUUUUCUUUCUCUGUUCAUUCGUUUGGAGCAUUACCAUCUGGUUUCUGAAGCAUCAGUUUAGCUUUGUUUGGUUCAUCAUGGCUCAUGAUACUCUCUCAGUCUUUCUCCGAGUGUUGAAGCGUAUUGUUUCCUUCUCCAUUUCUUUACUUGAAGUUGUAGAAAUGUUGAGGUCCAUAGCUUAUUCAUGUCAUUCUUGUCUUACCUUAAUAAUAUUAUUUUGCUGAUUUGUGCAUGUGCAAAACCUUUAACUUCAUUUUAGGAUCCCAUGGGUUGUUUAUUACUUUGCUUAAUCGUGUGAGAUUAUGAUAUGCAUCUUUCUUUAUUAUUUGGGGUUAUUUGUUGGUUAAGAAGAAAAAGUUUAUUACUUUGGAUUCCAUAUUAAACUGUAUGUGGGCUUCCCUUGUCAAUACGUGCAGUAGCCUCAUUAUGCUUAGUUCUCUUUUCAUUUACUUUGAUUGAGAAUCAUGUUUAUAUCCUUAUUACUUUAGUCAAUUAUUAAUUACUUUAUUCUUUGUUUCUGCAUGAACUUGGAUCCGUAGAUACUUAAGUUAAGUUGCUUGUUGGUUUAGAAUCAUAUGUCCGUUUUAUGUUGAUUUUCAUGUCUCGUAUCAAAGUGUUAAUUCAAAUAUGUGAAAAUGCACAUGCUUUGUUCGAAUAAAUAAAUAAAUUAUUUAAUACAUGAUAAGGAUUUUAUUUUAUUUUUACACGAAAGGCGAUAAUCGAUGUCUUAACUUGAGUUUGGAAGUGUUUUGUUCAUCUAAUGUUAUUUAUCUCACUGGAUUAUGUCACUGUUUUUCUCCUCAUAUUAUUAGAAAUUUUAUUUAUUUUUUAUCUAAUUAAACUAACAUGCUUAAUAUUAAUAGUCUAGGGAUAUUGAAUUUGGUCCAUUUGACUUUGCUCUUUUACUGCUCACUGUAUCAUAUACAUAAAAACAUUUAGUCUUCAUGGAUUUUUUUUCUUUACUUUAUUGUUCGAAUGUUGUACUGUUAGUAAUUAAUCAGUGAGUGUUUUUAUCUAUUUAUUUAUUUUGUUUAUUUUCGUUUAUGUACUCUUAUUUUCAUUUACUUUUUAUCUCGCCCCUUCAUUUUCCUUCCCAAGGCUAAUUCUAUAUUUUGUUUUUCAUUUUGCAUGUAAAAUCCGUUCAAGUCCUCACGGACUGUAUCUUUGCAUUUACAAGGGGGCCAUGGAGGCCCCAAAAUUCUUGUACCGAGUCAGAUCCCCCAAAAAUUUGGUGAACAGGGUUCAGAGCAGAUAUACAAGAUCGUAUACACUAGUAUACAUCUAGUGUACACGAAAGAGAGAAAAUGGGCUUAAAGAGGCCACUAGUCUUUAAAAUUUGUAUUUUGUCAUUUAUUGGGCCUAAGCCUAUUUAAGUAUUAUUAUUAUUUAUGUUAAAAGUUUAGGACAGGUUAGGACAGGUGAAAGAAUUGGGCCUAAGGCCCAAAGAGAAAACAUUCUAUUUUGUGUUAGAUUAGGACAGGUACCAAAUGGGCCCAAAUACUGGCCCAAAAGGACA
This 1670-nucleotide long non-coding RNA is filed under the name Solanum tuberosum (potato). RNAcentral's name for it is "long non-coding RNA (STUB_LNC004394)". The record is from RNAcentral. Lineage: Eukaryota; Viridiplantae; Streptophyta; Magnoliopsida; Solanales; Solanaceae.